GUUGAACGCUGGCGGCAGGCCUAACACAUGCAAGUCGAACGGUAACAGGGAUCAGCUUGCUGAUUCGCUGACGAGUGGCGGACGGGUGAGUAAUGCCUGGGAAACUGCCUGAUGGAGGGGGAUAACUACUGGAAACGGUAGCUAAUACCGCAUAACGUCGCAAGACCAAAGAGGGGGACCUUCGGGCCUCUUGCCAUCGGAUGUGCCCAGAUGGGAUUAGCUAGUAGGUGGGGUAACGGCUCACCUAGGCGACGAUCCCUAGCUGGUCUGAGAGGAUGACCAGCCACACUGGAACUGAGACACGGUCCAGACUCCUACGGGAGGCAGCAGUGGGGAAUAUUGCACAAUGGGCGCAAGCCUGAUGCAGCCAUGCCGCGUGUAUGAAGAAGGCCUUCGGGUUGUAAAGUACUUUCAGCGGGGAGGAAGGGAGUAAAGUUAAUACCUUUGCUCAUUGACGUUACCCGCAGAAGAAGCACCGGCUAACUCCGUG
RNAcentral lists this ribosomal RNA (490 nucleotides) under uncultured bacterium. Its description in RNAcentral is "partial 16S ribosomal RNA". It matches the Rfam family "Bacterial small subunit ribosomal RNA", at positions 28 to 507 of the family's 1533-position model. The record is from RNAcentral.